CCCAAAUUAAAACCCCAACCUAAACUUAGGCCUCCUCCCCAAAUACAACCAACAACAGCAGAUAGCAGAAAGCAAGGGGAGAAGGGGGAUAGCUCGGCAACGAAGAAGAGGAGACUGCGCCGCGUUCUGUUGCUGCGUCGCCGCUGCUAUCUAUGUCGCACGUGAGAGAGCCGUCGAGCUCGAGGGUGAAAGACGCGCGUGAGAGAGGGAGGAGCCGCCACUACCAUCCCGCCUCGCCACCUCUUCUCUACUCUCCUCUCUGGUGUCGUUUCUUCCAUUUUCAAUUCCUUCCAACUCCCAAAAUCGAUCCCCAAUUACCCCUAAAUCCCAUUGUCUCUUUAGAAAAGAUACAAGUGAACCCUAGCUAACCUAUCCCUCCCAAAGUUCCAUCCACGAAGAACUCUGCCCCCACUACCAUUAGAAACAAUUGCCGUUACACUCUCCACUCUCAACGUCAAGUCCUUCGCCUCAAAGACCCAGAUCCAACCGUCAUCCCUCUUCCUCACCAGCACAACCAAUCAUCGGUAACACUGACAUCAUCACCAACAAACGGCCACCGCCACCACCGAAGGUCUCCAUCUGACGAAGGUUUAUUGGAGUUCGUGGUGUCGCCGUGUCUUCGACUCUCCUCUGUCUUCGUCUCCUCUUCGAUCUCUCCUCUGGAAUCGUCUUCUCUUCGUGAUUAAGGUUGGCAACCUGGUAUCCAGGAAGGAGCUGUUGACUGGGAUGAAGAUUGGGAUAAGCUUGAAGAUAAAGGUUCACCUAAGAGUGAUAAUGAGUCAAAAAAAACCCCAGACCACAGAUGAACAAGAAGUUGACAAUGAAUCCGUUCAUAAUGAGUCAAAUAAAACAUGUUGUUUAUUUUAAUUUUUUGGGGGUUCUGAAAAGAUAAUUCGCUCUUUGCUUGAUUCAGUUAUAUCUCCUUCAAUCAACAAUUUGUUAUAGUGCUAGUAGCUAUGCUUCCUUAGAUAAAAAAUUCACUUAUACUUUUUCUUUUCUAUUUUUUUCGUUAUUCCCUAUGUUUAUCUGUGAACUUCUUGUGUCAUGAAAAUUGAUUUGAGAUAUUUUGUUUUGUGUGAUAUCUGAUUUGUUCAUAUCUCAUGAAAGGCUCAAGUUUUAACAAACACUAUAUUCUGUAAUCUCAUUGUUCAUGCUGUCAUAUAUAACUUUUUUUCCCUUUGUUAGGUCUCAGAGAUAAGAAGUGUGUGCCAUGCAAUCUGAAGGAACUGCAACCAAUGACCGAGGAUGCAGCACACAUUUUGAUGCCACAUGUUUAUUUGUUUCUGAGUGGAAUUUCGUAAAAGAAGAUAGCAUUUUUAAACUGAAGAGGACACGGAAAGUAAAGACUUUCACCAAAGGCUUGGAAUUCUUCAAGAUAGUAGCUGACCUUGCUGAAAGUGAAGGCAAUUACUUUGUGCCCCAAUGUUCCUGUGUAUUGGGCGAACUGUGCUCUUUGCUAUCUUAAGCGCCAGUGAAAAACAUUACAAGAUGAGCGAACAAAUUAGAGAAGAAUUUUUUUUUGGUUUUCAAAGGACGAGAAGAAUAUGUACUAUAUUAGAGAAUAUUUUUGUUUUCACAAUAUAAUAUUUUGAUGUCUUUUGUAAUUUUUUAAGAGCUUUUACCUGGUAUUACAUGUAAUGGAUAAAUUAUACCAUAUUUUGAUUUGUGUUGUUUGGCUAAAAA
Non-coding RNA from Arachis ipaensis, 1683 nucleotides. The record is from RefSeq and is a predicted model, not a curated record. NCBI's taxonomy places the organism in Eukaryota, Viridiplantae, Streptophyta, Magnoliopsida, Fabales, Fabaceae.